UGGAAACUCUCAGUCUGUCAGGAUGUCUGAUCACAGAGGAAGGCUGUGCUUCUCUGGCCUCAGCUCUGAGCUACAACCCCUCCCAUCUGAGAGAUCUGGACCUGAGUAACAACAACCUGCAGGAUUCAGGAGUAAAGCAGCUUUCUGCUGGACUGAAGAGUCCACACUGUGGACUGGAAUCCCUCAGGCUGAGUGUCUGUAACCUCUCAGAGAGAAGCUGUGCAGCUCUGUCCUCAGUUCUCAGCUCCCAGUCCUCUAGUCUGAGAGAUCUGGACCUGAGUAACAAUGACCU
Scomber japonicus (chub mackerel) is the source of this 292-nucleotide long non-coding RNA. RefSeq lists it as uncharacterized. NCBI's taxonomy places the organism in Eukaryota, Metazoa, Chordata, Actinopteri, Scombriformes, Scombridae. The transcript is spliced from 3 exons. The record is from RefSeq and is a predicted model, not a curated record.